ACUUACUAACCUACUCCAUCUCGUAAUUAAAGCACCCCCCCUUCCCCUCUCUCUCUCUCAUUUCUAAGCUCUCUCUCUCUUGGAAAAUGGAUGGCACGGACGCCGCCUCAAUGCCACGGCCGUCGUCCCCUGUUCUCCCUUCCUCUUCUCUCUCUCUCUUACACCCACACACACAGACACGGCCCACGCCGCGUCGCCGCCUCUCCUGCUUCAUCUUCUUCGGCCGAACGGUUGGAGCCGCCACCGCCACCACCCAUCCUGCUUCAUCUUCUUCGGCCGAACGGCCGGAGCCACCACCACCGUCGCCUGUAGCAGAAUGGAACACGACAAUGACGUAUCUACCGCCAUCGCACUGCUGCCGUCCGCCAUGCUCAAUCGUUGUCCGUCUGCAUAGACCGUAGACAACGGAUCCCAUGUUGUCGUUCCGUCGUUGGCUGCCUCCUCUCUCCUCCUCUAUUUUUGGUGCCUCGCCUCUCCUCCUCUGCUCUUGACGCCGAUGGUGGUUAGUGGCAAAUCUCGUCGGAACAUAGGAAUUUAAGAAGAGGGGUAGAAGUGGAUAGAAUUAGGGAUUUUGUUCUACUGUUCUUGAAUUUGCUUGGUUCUUCUUGUUUACUAAAUUUGCAGAG
This is a long non-coding RNA of Salvia miltiorrhiza (redroot sage), 626 nucleotides long. RefSeq lists it as uncharacterized. The transcript has 3 exons. The record is from RefSeq and is a predicted model, not a curated record. Lineage: Eukaryota; Viridiplantae; Streptophyta; Magnoliopsida; Lamiales; Lamiaceae.